AGACACUCUCAGGCUCCCUAGGAAGAGGAGGAUGGAGACUGGAGAGAUGGAGGGAUGGAAGGAUGGAGGCUGGAGAGAUGGAGACUGGAGGGAUGGAGGAUGAAGGGAUGGAGGCUGGAGGGAUGGAGGGAUGGAGGCUGGAGGAAUGGAGGCUGGAGAGAUGGAAGGAUGGAGGCUGGAGGGAUGGAGACUAGAGGGAUGGAGGCUGAAAAGAUGGAGGGAUGGGAGGGAUGGACGCUGUAAGGAUAGGGGCUGGAGGGUGGAGGCUGGAGGGAUAGAAGGAUGGCGGGAUGGGAGGAAUGGAGGCUGGAGGGAUGAAAGGAUGGAGGCUGGAAGGAUAGAGGCUGGAGAGAUGGAAAGAUGGAGGCUGGAGCAAUACAAGGAUGGAGGCUGGAGGGAUGGAGGCUGGAGGGAUAAAGGAGGAAAACAAAGAGCGGGAGGGGUCUGGGCACUAGGCUAGGGCCUCAGCUGCUGGGCCUGUACCAUGGCAGGGAAUCCAUGAAUCCUGGAGGCAUUUUUGGCUGGUUCCAAAGUCAGACAAAGUGUGAACCUCUCUCUGCUACAACCUUGGCCAGAAAGUCUGGUGCAGAGACGAUGAGACACUGGGGACCCCCACUUGUUCACAUUUGUUCCGUUGCUCACUUGUUCAAAAAACACGCGUGAAGCCCCUGCUUGGAGCCAGGCACUGGGCUGGGUUCAGGGUUUCCAGAUGAAUCAGGCCUGCUCCCCGGGGGACUCCCAGUCGUUCAGAAGAGAGACAGACAUUGAAACAAAUAAUUAAAGACACGAAUGAAAGCCUCUGAGAUAAAAAUACACAAGAUCGGUGAACACAGAGAGAGUCACUGAGACAAGCUUAGGGUUGACCCUAAGCUUGAACCAGAGGGAAAACUCAGACCUCCACCGAGUAGGAUGGGCAGUGGGAGGCUGGGGUGCAAUGAUCCUGAAGGAUGCUGAGGGACCCACCACUGCUCCCGUGACCUCCACCUGACGUUCCUCAGGGAAGUGACACCCCCUCCAAAAUAUGCAACGAGAGAGGCCCUGGGGAGACGCAGGCUUGGGUUUCAGAUGUGGGCGAUUCUCACACGGGCUGCAGAUUCUAGGCCUUGGUCUGCAGCCCGCUCACUCCACGCCGCUGAGACUCAGUUUUCUCAUCUGCCAAGUGAGAGUUCUGGAUUUGGAGAUGAUUAUUACAGCUAAUAUUUGCUGAACAUUUACUGUGUGCCAGGCAUCGCGCCAGACACUUUGCAUCGGUACCUCGUUCAGCCUUCACAUCCGCCCAGUGAGAUGGAAAAACUGAGCCCAGAGUGGGGCCAGGACAUACCCAACAUCAUAGCGCAGAUGAAGACACAGCCAGGACCAGAACUCAAAUCUCCUACACCAGUGGGCUUCCCCCCUGAGCCUGAACAUGGAGUCACCACUGGCUCAGUGAUUACUGAGUGGAAAGGGAUUCGAGACGGCAGAGCACUGUGCAGAGAUAGCUGGGCAUGAGGGGAGAGAAUGCAAGCCUCAGCUGGGAAUCGGGACUCUUGGAUUCUCAUCUUCUCAGAUUGACUUAAUUCACCACUUCAGAGAGGUACUCCUUGGGAUCAUAAAUGAACUACCUGCAACUCACAUCCUAGUGUGAGUUGCAGGGUCUGCUUUCAGAUCAGCCCAAACUCAGGACUGUCUGUCUCCAGAGCCAACACUCAACUAUCACGUUAUGCAUCAUCCCACCUCACCCCCAGGGACCUCCCUCAUAAUGGAAGCAGCAGCAAAGACUUCAUAAUGAACAGCACCAGAUUCUAGAGGCACCUGCAUUCCUUGGCUUGUGGCCUCUUCCUCCAUCUCAAAGUGCAUCGCUCCAAUUUCUGCUUCUGUCAUCACAUCGCCUUUUCCUCCAGCUCCGACUCCUCCUGCAUCCAUCUGAAAAGGAUAAUCCAGGAUAUUCUCCCUAUCUCAAGAUCCUUCAUCACAUCUGCAAAGUCUCAGGCUGCUACCAAAGGGGCCACGCAGGACGUCCUCUGGGGAAUGCUGGCUCCCACACCACCCGCCUCGGCUCCUGGGCCAAGGUUUUGCCUUGAUCUGUCCAUCCCACUGCACAUGGCUUCAAGGAGGCAUUCAUGGGAAUCCCUGCUCAGGUCAGGCAGCAUCGUGUCAAGGUCAUGGCCCCUUGAAGAUUCUUUGAGGAAGUGGCUGUUGAGCUCCCAACCCCAGGGCUGGAGCAGGAGGAUCAGACACCCCGGCCUCAGCCCCAGAGCAUGAAAGCCCUCCCCACUCACCCAGCUGCUCUGCAGACCCACACUUGCACACAACUCCAUGUGCCACUGACCAGCUCUGACCUCGUCCUGGGCAAGGCUGGCGGGGCCUAGACCCAAACCCACAACAGUGUGUGGCUCCCAGGGAGGCAGCGUUUCCUGGGCACCAGCUCUUUAGAGAAUGCCUUCAGAAGUCCCCAUCCAGCCUCUCCCCUCAUGAAAUCCUGUCCUUGAAUCAUCCAGCCUAGCCCCCUGAGUAGCUGUGCAUUUCCGAGACCCCGAAUCCAUAAUAUUCAUAUGAAUGAGGUGGAGGGCAGGGAGAAUCGCUGCCAUUUAUUCAACCCUUAAUAAAUGCUGGGGGCUGCACAAAGCACUUUAAAUAAAUACAGCCUCUCAUUUUAAUCCUAAACAGGCCUGUGAGGGAGGUGCCAUGAUUACCCUUGUUUUAUAGAUGAUGAAAGCUAGGGCUCAGAAGAUGAAGUCCUUUACCAAAGGUCACACAGCUAGAAAGCAGAGAGGCCAGGAGUAGCACCCACUUGCUACAAGAGACUGGCCCCUCCAGACACAGUCCUUCCCGACAGCCUCUUUGAGGUUUCCCUGGACCUAGCCCAUCGGGACACUGUCCUCACAGCAAAGUAGCAGCCCCAGGCUGGGCACACGGCAGGAACCCUGUGCUGUGGCCCCCCGACCCAGUCCUGUGAACCCUUCCUUACUCCUCUGGCUCUGCUGGGACCAUGCUCUCCACCCCAGAGCUGGGAUAGCUGGGCCCUCUCCUCGCCCUCUCAUCCCAGCGUCCACCCUCCUGUUCAGAGCUGGACCGUUAGCCCAUGGGCCCCCUAGGAUUCUCUUUGCUUCCAGUUCCCCAGGUGACCAGCAGAUCUGUUAUUCCUCUCAUUUCACUUAUUCAUUUAUUCAGUGGAGUUUAGGGGCAGUCAGGAGGCCCUGGGGACUUGUGAGUGGCUGGUAUCAGCCAAGGGCCAGGUCCAGCCUCUGUGGGUAGACACGAAUGACUUAUUAGGGCUCUGAAAAGGGGCUGUGGAUGUGUCUGCCAUGGUCAGUCCCUGGGGCGAGAGCCAGCGUCCAAGGCCAUGCUUGCCUGCCCUGGUCACCAGAAAGGGCUGGGAGAGGAGGAAGAACUGGGAGCAGGUUAGGACUUCAGAGCUCCCCUAGCUACUCACCAACCUCAGGGACAGGCAGGGGCCAGCCCCUGGAGAAGCCCCCCGUACCUGCUCCCCACCCCACCAUACACACGCAGUCUCCCUACAGUGUCCCCCUCCCUUCCUGGCCCCUGAGUCUCCGAGGCAGCAGGAGGAGCAGCAGAAGAUCCCAGGACGUGAAGUUCAAAGACAGACAGUCACCCCAGCCACCUGUCUCCCAUCACCAUCGCCAUCACCAGGGCCUCUGAGCCCCACACCCCUCCUCACUGCCCAUGUGUCCCCAUUUCUCAGGGUCCCUAUGUUCUGAUGGUGUCACAAGCCCUAGGAGUUAAAAAGUGACAGUUCCCUUCACCUUCUUCUCCUCUCUACAAUCCCCUGCCCCUCCUAGCAGGUGAGCCCCGCUAGCAGGUUGGUGUCUAUUCUACAGACCCUUUUAUGUGCAUUAAAAAAACUCCACAUGGAUAUCACAGAGAUCGACAUAUGUAGGAUUUACUUUACAGAAAUAGCGCCAAGCCAUAUACAUUUUUCUCUGAUGUGCCUUUUUUUAGUAGUGUGGAAAUCUUUCCAUAUUUAUGUAUACACAUCUACCAUAAUUCUUAGCUAUUGCAGAUUUUAUACUGAAAAGAAAACAGAAAGGCUAAGGCUAAAUACCCAUACUCCCAUAGCUUUUUUGUCAAGUACAUGAACGAAGAAGUAAAAGCCUCCAAACAUAGCAUAUGAAUCUUUCGUAUCCUUUUCCCAAGAUUACGGAGGCGGAGCUGUGUGGAUGUGCACUGGUUCAAACAUAGUCAUGCAUUUUCUUACAGAGUGGCAUCAUGCCAGUCGUGCUGCUUUAUUAUUAAUUUUUCUGCUUAGCAGUCUGUCUUGGAGAUUUUUCCAGAUUGGUGCAUUUUCAUGUCACUAGAUUCUGUUUAUCCACUAUGAUUCCAUUGUCCGGAUGAACCACUGUUCCCCUCUUAAUGGACAUUUCAGUUAGUUCCAGGCCUUUGCUGAAAUGAACACCCUUCCUUAUAUAUCUCUGCACUCCUCAUCCCAGGUCUGAAGUCUGAGGAACUGGGGACAAUUGUGUGGUGUCGUGAUGGUGAGCAUGUAAACCACAUGUCUGCCCUGUGAAAGGAAGAUAAAUCUGGGGACCCCAAAAUCACCCUCCACCCCACGCACACUCACAACACAGCCUCCUCCAGGCAGCAGAACUGUUAAGCCUGUCAGAGACUCAGGCAGCUGCCAGGCACUAAAAAUAAACAGAUGAGCUCCUUUGUCUGCAUUUAGCAAGCAGGUUGCAGAAUUACAUCUGCCCAGGGUGACCCCACACCCUGGUUUGGGGGUAAGAAGAGAAGCAGCUUCCAGGCCAUCUUCCCAGCACCCCCUUGCCUUGGCUGUGCCAUCCACCCCACCCUCCACUGCUUUCCUCCUUCCUCCAGCAGAGGGAUUACCUGGGGCAGGAAAGGGGGCAGAGGACCCCUAUAUGGCCCUGGCAGGCCUCAGAGGCCCAUCUGGGAGAAGAGGACUUUGCAGGUUCAUUUCCACAAAAUGGGGAGCUCCCAGCACGACCUCUGGGAUCUGGGCAGCUGCUCAGCUGCUUUUCUGUUCAAUUGCAUCAAACUAAUGUGAACCUGAAAUGCUCUAAAAUUGAAGCAGGAAAAAUUGGAUCUGCUAUUGAUCCUCAUCACUUGGGUGACUCCUGUGACCCAUAUUAGCCACAACCCAGCCAAAAGCAACUGCCCUGAAAACAAAGAGUGUGUGUGGUUAUUUGAUUCUGUUCAGUUGUAGAUGGGAGGAGCCUGGGGUCCCCCAACUCAGCUGCCCUUGUCCCAGAUGAUGCAAAAAAAAAAAAAAAAAGUGAAGAUAAAGACAGAGGAAAGGGUGGGAACCAGGAUGGGGACAAGCAACCCUUCCAUUGCCUGUAGAAAGGUUUUCAGGAAAAAGAUUUGCUGGCAUAGAAAAGGCUGUUGGAGCAGGGCAGCUCUAGGGGCUCCUGGGACCUCCCUUCCCACAGGUGUCAGGGAAGCAACCUCAGGCCACUUCUGCUGCGCCAUGUCUGCAGUCCCACACCCAGCCUACUGUGCGCAGCAUGUGGGGUGCUCUUUAAAGUACAUGAUGUCCUGUGUAAGUUAAAAACUCAUGUUCCAGAAACAGCAUCCUGGAAAGUCAGGACUGAGGCCUUGGAGAGUAAAUAGACCAGCAGCUCCCAAGUCUGGCACACAUGAGAGUCAUCAGCAGCUCUGACAGGUGCAGACUCCCAGGUCACCCCCGAGGGCGUCUGAUUCGGCAUGUGUGGGGUGGCGCCUGGGUAUAUGUAUUGUGAAAACAUGUCCAAGCUCAGGACCCUUAAUUUCCAAGCGAAUUGUGUUCUCUGGAGUCUUGGGAAUGGCAGAGGGACCCGGGGCUCCUGCAUGGUGAGGGGAGCUGAGCACGUGGGACCCCAGGCUCCUCACCUCUUGAACUGGAGCAUCCCACUCUCAUCCAUUCCAUAAACUGCAUCUUUGAUCGAUUGUAAGACACACCACAGUUUUAUGUACCACGCAGAAAGACACCGCCAGGUGCCAUGGAUUAUAAGAUGCAUAUCAGUCUCAUAGGCAGCAAAGGUGAAAUGUGUGUUCUAGAAUCCACAAAAUAGUGUAUGCGGUCCCUUCCUUCAGUGAUGUCCCACAGCUCUUAGAGUAAGCCUCACCUCCUCCACAUGACCCCAAGGCCCUGUGUGUCCAGCCCUUGCCUACCUCUCCAGCCACCUCCCCAAACCAUUCUCGCCUCCUCUGCGCUCCCGCCCUCUGGCUGCCUUCUUUCAGACCCCAGCAUCCUCCUCGUUUCCUCCCCAGACAGGAACUUUGCACAGGCCAUACAUUCUUCCCUUUCCUUCUUAACCUACUCUCUUUGAGAGCACAACUCAACUGCCGCUUCCUUGGGAAGGCCUUCCCUCAUCCUCUUUGCUAGAUCACACCACCACCACCAUUAUUCUGUCUUGUGGCCCCUCCGCAGCGCUGGUCCCAGCCACAAUCUCACCUUGCUGUGUGGGAUUAGGUGAUGAAUGCCAGACUUCCCUGAUUGACGGUAAGCCACAUGUAAGUAGAGACUGUCCUGGUUUAACCUGCCAUAGAAUCCCUUGUGCCUACCACUGUGCCUGGCACUCAGUAGGUACACAACAAUCUACACUGGGCUGGUACCCCUCCCCACCAACAUGGGGCUCCAGGUUUCAGUGACCUGAAAGGGCAAAGUUGUAAGGGUCAGUCUGGGAGAGAAGCCUUAUGGGCCCAUGCCAGUCCACAGCUGGGGCAUGAGGGUGGAGAGAUGGCAGCCAGUGCACACGCCUGCACAAUGGUUGCCCCAGCUCCUCCUCCCCAGCUUCCUCACUGGGUCUCAGGCCAGCCUGUUUGCUCAGCUGCCUUAUGGAGUUCAAUUCUGCUUUCCUGCCCCUCUGCACUCCACCUCCACCUGCCAUUCACUGAAGAAACCAAACCAGAGACAGCCAAAGGAGAGGGGAUAAGACCGCCCACCAGUCUGUCCACCAAGCCCGCAGGAGAAACAGGCGCCCAGGCCCCAGCCAAGGAGAGAUGGUCCUGCAAAAAUUCAUCAUCAAGAGUCUGGGGUUUGGAGUCGGGCUGUCUGGGUCUGAGCCACUCCCCAGCAUUGGGCAAAUUCCUUCGAUUUCUCUUAAGACUCAAUUUCUUCCUCUGUAAAAUGGGGAUUGCAAGAGCAGCUUUGCAGGGUGGCUUUGUGAAACACCUAAGGCGUUGAACUUGACUGAGGGCUUCUGCAAUAGCACCCGUGGCCUGGGAAGUGCUUAGCACAUGCUCUGAUGCAGCAUGAGUGCUAUUAUGAUCCCCCUGUGUGGGGAGCCGGAGUCUCGCCCCCAGGGCCUGCUGAGCUGUCAUCGACCUGGCUGCCCGCAUUGAUCUGGCCAGGACCCCCUCGGGAGUCCCAUCUGCAUGGACAGGCCACCCUCUGCCCCUGGGUGGCUGCCCUUUGCCAAGUUCACGGUCUGGAGCAGUCGGCCAGCUGGGCCUCCCACUAAUGAGUGCCUCGUCCUGCCCAGACCAGCUCUCCUUACUCUCCAUCGAUCCUUGACCUUCCUGGGGAAGCUCCCUCCUCCACUUCUGCCUCUACAUGGUUGCUACUGCUGCUCACCCCAGACUCUCGUCGGCUCUGGCAGGACCUCGCUCUGUCCAGGCACCCCUGAGCCUGGGAGCCCCAACCACUCAUCCCCCCGACAUGUGUGCUCAAGGCCAGGGCUGUGGUCUGGGUUCAGAUCUCGACUUGGCGCCUGGUUAAACCAAUGCUAGGACCAAGAGAUUCGAUAGCAAGUUAUGAACUGAACAUUUGUGACCCCCAAAUUCACAUGCCAUCACCCCCACUAUGGCUAUAUUUGGAGAUGGGGCCCCUAAGGGAGUAAUUAAGGUUAAAUGAGGUCCUGAGGGUGGGGCCCUGUGGACCCAAGGCGGGUACUAUUGUCCUCAUAAGAAGAGACACCAGAGAACUCAUUCCCUCUCUCCACGCACACACAAAGCGAGAUGGCAACAGCCCACGGCCAAGAGAAGGGUGAAACCUCUCUGGUAAUAAAGCUUACCUUGCUGGCACCUUGAUCUUGGACCUUCCAACCUCCAGAACUGUGAG
RNAcentral lists this long non-coding RNA (7999 nucleotides) under Homo sapiens (human). RNAcentral's name for it is "non-protein coding lnc-CLIC4-2:3". Lineage: Eukaryota; Metazoa; Chordata; Mammalia; Primates; Hominidae. The record is from RNAcentral.